This 484-nucleotide ribosomal RNA is filed under the name uncultured bacterium. RNAcentral describes it as "partial 16S ribosomal RNA". It matches the Rfam family "Bacterial small subunit ribosomal RNA", at positions 30 to 507 of the family's 1533-position model. The record is from RNAcentral.
AUUGAACGCUGGCGGCAGGCCUAACACAUGCAAGUCGAGCGGAUGAAGGGAGCUUGCUCCUGGAUUCAGCGGCGGACGGGUGAGUAAUGCCUAGGAAUCUGCCUGGUAGUGGGGGAUAACGUCCGGAAACGGGCGCUAAUACCGCAUACGUCCUGAGGGGGAAAGUGGGGGAUCUUCGGACCUCACGCUAUCAGAUGAGCCUAGGUCGGAUUAGCUAGAUGGUGGGGUAAAGGCCUACCAAGGCGACGAUCCGUAACUGGUCUGAGAGGAUGAUCAGUCACACUGGAACUGAGACACGGUCCAGACUCCUACGGGAGGCAGCAGUGGGGAAUAUUGGACAAUGGGCGAAAGCCUGAUCCAGCCAUGCCGCGUGUGUGAAGAAGGUCUUCGGAUUGUAAAGCACUUUAAGUUGGGAGGAAGGGCAGUAAGUUAAUACCUUGCUGUUUUGACGUUACCAACAGAAUAAGCACCGGCUAACUUCGUG